Molecule: long non-coding RNA, 243 nt
Filed under: Elaeis guineensis (African oil palm)
Lineage: Eukaryota; Viridiplantae; Streptophyta; Magnoliopsida; Arecales; Arecaceae
Description: long non-coding RNA (EGUI_LNC010455)
Source: RNAcentral
CUCCCCCUAACUUAACCAAGAUUAUUUUUAGAUCCUUAUAAAAGACACAAAGCAAGACUCGAUUAUCCUUAACAAAAUGCAAAAGAAAGCAAAAGCAAAAAGCAAAAAAUUGAAAACUUAAAAACUGGGUUGCCUCCCAGGAAGCGCUAAGUUUACCGUCUUCAGCCAGACCAUGCUGUUCAGUUUAGUAUGGGUCUGUUAAUGCUAUUUGAUCAAUAUUUUGAUUUAAUGAUAUCCCUUCUA